Molecule: ribosomal RNA, 232 nt
Filed under: uncultured bacterium
Lineage: Bacteria
Description: partial 16S ribosomal RNA
Rfam family: Bacterial small subunit ribosomal RNA
Source: RNAcentral
CGGACGGGUGAGUAAUACAUAGGAAUCUGCCCAGUAGCGGGGGACAACUCGGAGAAAUCCGAGCUAAUACCGCAUACGCCCUACGGGGGAAAGCAGGGGAUCUUCGGACCUUGCACUAUUGGAUGAGCCUAUGUCAGAUUAGCUUGUUGGUGGGGUAACGGCCUACCAAGGCGACGAUCAGUAGCUGGUCUGAGAGGACGAUCAGCCACACUGGGACUGAGACACGGCCCAG